GCGGACGUGGCGAAAUUGGCAGACGCACUAGACUUAGGAUCUAGCGCCUCACGGCAUGUGGGUUCAAGUCCCUCCGUCCGCACCA
Molecule: transfer RNA, 85 nt
Filed under: Alphaproteobacteria bacterium
Lineage: Bacteria; Pseudomonadati; Pseudomonadota; Alphaproteobacteria
Also listed under: 2 other names
Description: tRNA-Leu
Rfam family: tRNA
About the family: Transfer RNA (tRNA) molecules are approximately 80 nucleotides in length. Their secondary structure includes four short double-helical elements and three loops (D, anti-codon, and T loops). Further hydrogen bonds mediate the characteristic L-shaped molecular structure. tRNAs have two regions of fundamental functional importance: the anti-codon, which is responsible for specific mRNA codon recognition, and the 3' end, to which the tRNAs corresponding amino acid is attached (by aminoacyl-tRNA synthetases). tRNAs cope with the degeneracy of the genetic code in two manners: having more than one tRNA (with a specific anti-codon) for a particular amino acid; and 'wobble' base-pairing, i.e. permitting non-standard base-pairing at the 3rd anti-codon position.
Source: RNAcentral